This is a non-coding RNA of Ictidomys tridecemlineatus (thirteen-lined ground squirrel), 3784 nucleotides long. Lineage: Eukaryota; Metazoa; Chordata; Mammalia; Rodentia; Sciuridae. The record is from RefSeq and is a predicted model, not a curated record.
CGCCCCCUGGUGGGCGAAUGGCGCUUUCAUUUCAUGUGGGCAGGUUGGGAGCCAUCUUGUCAGGGAGCCAGGGUUAGGGCCGUGGUUUUCAGGCUGUUAGGGAUCUUUGGGGUGCCUCAGCUGGGCGGGCUUGUGGGGUGAGGGUGUGGCUGGGCGAGGCGGUUUCCCCGCACUUCUCCGCGCUGGUCAGGAUCUACCUGCGUUUUGUUUCCCGGGGCCCACGUGACACUAUCUGGACACAGGGUCCUGCCCUGGGAGAUGCCAGGGUAAGCAGAGCCCCGUAAAGUCAGCUCCGGAGGGUCCUGGGGUGAAGACAGUGUGGAGGGGGCGUGUUUCUGGGCCAUCAUCCCUCUGGCAGGCUGUUUGGGGACUGAGCCGUGUGGGUUUCUCUCCUGGGGUUCCGGCUGCCCUUCUCUCUCGGCCCCGUGGUCUUUUCCCCACACUUUCCUGAACCAGUUCUGGCCACUGCAGGUGGGCUCAGACCCAGGCCUGGCUUGUUGAGGACCGUCUUGCUGAGUUCAGGGUUCUUGCCUAUAACCUUUCACCCAGGGCCAUUCUGCCUGCUGGUUCUCUUCAGCUGGAGAGCACAUACUUAAUGUCACUUGUGCACAUCGAGCGCUUAGAGGAAGCAGUGUCUGUGGUCAGGUGGGCAAGGUUCCCCAGAGGCCAGGCCUGGAAGGGCCGGUGGGAACUGGAUGGUGGAGAUGGUGGAGUGGCAGGAGUGAGUCUAGGGAGGACGUGAACUUGGCCUUGGAUUUGAUUGAAGUGCCGUCAAAAAAGCACCGCCCUGGGGCUGGGAUCGUGGCUCAGCGGUAGAACACUAGCCUGGCCUGUGUGAGGCCCUGGGUUCGAUUCUCAGCACCGCGUUAAAUAAAAUAAAGGCCCAUCGACAACUAAAUAAUAUUAAAAAAAAAAAAAAAGCACCGCCCUUCAUGCUCCCUUGUGGUCCCCAGAGGGAACCUCCAGUCACGGCACAGCGUGGCACUAAGAUGCCACGGCAUCUCGGAUCGGUUCAGAACAGAGCCAGAGCGACUUCAGGUCUAGUGGCGUGGUAGCCCCAGAAUAUCGCCCUGCAGCUUGGCUUUCAUGACGGUAAUUUGAACGAGUUGCAAUGAUAAAAGCUUCUUUUGGAAUCGAAGUUGAAAAAAAAUGAGCUUAAAAUAGGAACUGAGCAGCCUGUGAGGGGACUGUGGGUGUGACAGAGCGAGGGGGCGCAUGAGGAGGGCCAGGCUGGAGAGUGCUGCUGCCCACAGCCGGUGCCGUUCAGAGGUUCUGCAUCUGCAAGGUGCUGACGGAGGUGGCCCGGGGAGACUCGUGACGCUGUGUGUGUGGGAUCUGCCAGAAUAAGGAUGGCAUGUGGCACGGUGGCCAGGAGAGAGUGGUCAGGGCUGGAGGGCCUUUUUGUAGGUGGUCAGAGAGUAAAUGCAGGCUCCGUGGUCUCUGUCCAUUUGCUUCGCUCAGCCGUGGUAGCAUGAAAGCAGGCCUGAGAUGACACAGAACCCAUGGGAGGGUGUGUGUGGGUGUGUGGGUGUGUGGGUGUGUGCUAAUGAGUUUGGAAGUGCAGAAGCAGGCGUUGGGCUGUGCAGGGCUGAAGCAUCGUGGGAUCUGGGGAAGUGAAAGGAAGAUCACUUGGGAGCCUGUGGCUGCUGCCAGUGGGGGACCUGAGCCGGGCGGUAAAGCCCCUUCUGGCGCAUUGAGGAUGGCAGAGGAGUGCUCACUGGUGCUUCCGGAAGGACAGGAGGCACUUGCACUCCUGGUCACGCCCAGUGCCUGGGGGAGAAGUCGCUAUGUCCUGCAAGGCCCAGAGAAGCCAACCCGGAGGCCCGAGUCACUUGGAGAGUGUUUGCCGAGCCAGGACUCAGGUGACCCCAGACCAAAGCACUGCUGUUGGAAGUCAGAAGUGGUAGUGUCGUGCGUGUGGGGCUCAGUCACAGGGACCGCAGACGCGGCCCUGGUCUUGGUGUGCGCCUCCUCCCGCUCCCCUGCUCCUUCUUCCUACGUGGCCUGCGUGGCUUGGUGUCCGGGUCCAGCCCUGAGCCACAGUCUUGCUCAGAGGACCCGGGCGCCCCGGCCGUUCUGUUUUCUCAGCGAGGCAUUGUGAUUCCUCACCUGCACCCGAGCCUCGGCGCAGCUGGAGGAAGUUCCCCAGGACCACAGAUCUGUCCCAUGGCCCGUUUAAUCUUGACCGCUGGCCUCAGAAGCACAGCUCCUCAUCCGCCCCAUCCUCCCUCCAAACCCCUUUCAUCAGCCCCCCUUCCGCCCUGCACAGGCCACCUCGUUCCCUGCUCCCUCUCAGACCCCACUUGUCCUUCCUGCUGCCCCCCGUGUGACAUGGGGGACACACUCUGCCUUUCCCUCCUGGCCACCUUCAGCGUCUGACCGCUUCUUGCUUCUUGUCCUUUGUCAUAGCCAGAUUUUCCGCUCAGCUGCCUCCUUCCCUAGGCGGUUAAAUACGCUUCUCUCUCUCUCUCCGUGCUCCCUCCUCCACCGCCCGCGUUGCCGAUGGAAUGUUGUACCCUGAAGGCCGUGUCUGCACUGUGCACACUGGUGGCCACUAAUCCCUGUGGCUGUGGGACCCUCAAGCUGUGACUAGGAGUGGAGUUUCAUAUAUUUUACUUUAGUUGACUUAACAGUAGCUCUGCCAGGUACAGUGAUCCACACCUGUGAAUCCCAGCAACUCGGAGGCUGAGGCAGGAGGAUCACAAGUUCAAGGCCAGCUUCAAAAUUUAGCAAGGCCCUAAGCAACUUAGUGAAACCUGGUCUCAAAAUAGAAAAGGGCUGGGGGUGUGACUCAUAGGACUUCCAUGUCUACAGGGGCCUUCCCCCAGGUGUUUUUUUGUGAAGAUUGGGACUACACUGAAGGAGAUGUGGUCCCCCGUUUUACGGCUUGGAAAGAGACUGGGCAAGGGCAGCAGGGGUGUGGCUCCACUGUGGAGCACUUGCCCUGUAUGCAUGAGGACCUGGGUUCUGUCCCCAGCCCCACCAACACCCUCACCCCCCAAUUUUUUUUAAUUUUAAUUUUAAAAUUUAAAAAAAAAGUAUUUUGGCAGAGGAGGAGUACUAACCAGAGGGUUCAUUGUCAAAAUGGAAGGACAGGAGUACUUGGCGCCAGGGCACUGGUGACAUCUGCGUGUUGAGCAGCAGGGCCAUGGGCCGUGGCCCUGUGGGAUUGCAGACCUGAGCGCGCUCAUUUCUUCCCAAAGCCACGUGUGCUGAGGAGUUGUAUCAGAGCAGCAAGACUCUCAUCUCCAGCCCCCUCACCCAUCUGGCUAGCUGGUCAGUGCAUGGGAGAUGUGCAGGAGGUGGACCGUGCAGGAGGUGGACCGUGCAGGGGGCACCUGAGCUGUCUCCAGUACCUGUGCGGGGGUGGGGGGGGACUGAGGAGUCCCUGUGGAAGGAGAGGUUUAAGUAGGGGCAUGAGCUCCCUUGGUAGGUGGCAUAGGCCUCCCCUGUUCAUAUUUUUCUUUUUUUUAAAUAGAUAUUUUUUAGUUGUAGGUGGACACAAUGAUUUUUAUGUGGUGCUGAGGCUCGAACCCAGUGCCUCACGCAUGCUAGGCGAGCGCUCUACCACUGAGCCACGACCCCAGCCCCUCUCCUGUUCAUCUUUUAAGACGUCACCCGAGCCUGGUGCUGUGGCGUAGGCCUGUAAUCCCAGUGACUUGGAAGGAGGAGGCAGGAGGAUCACAAGUUCAAGGACAGCUUCAGCAACUUAGUGAGACCAUGUCUCUCAAUACAAAAAAAAAAGAUUUUACCUAAAGCAGCUGCUCGGGCCGACAGAGGGGAA